CGCCUUGCCAGCCCGCUCAGAAACUUAAAGGAAUUGAGGGGGCCCGCACAAGCGGUGGAGCAUGUGGUUUAAUUCGAUGAUACGCGAGGAACCUUACCUGGGCUCAAAUGUAUGUUGACGUAUUCUGAAAGGGAUACUUCUUCGGACAAUAUACAAGGUGCUGCAUGGUUGUCGUCAGCUCGUGCCGUGAGGUGUCGGGUUAAGUCCCAUAACGAGCGCAACCCCUAUCAUUAGUUGCCAUCAGGUCAAGCUGGGGACUCUAAUGAAACUGCCUACGCAAGUAGUGAGGAAGGUGGGGAUGACGUCAAAUCAGCACGGCCCUUACGUCCAGGGCUACACACGUGCUACAAUGGCCGGUACAAAGGGCAGCUACCUGGUGACAGGAUGCUAAUCUCAAAAGCCGGUCUCAGUUCGGAUCGGAGUCUGCAACCCGACUCCGUGAAGUCGGAAUCGCUAGUAAUCGUGAAUCAGAAUGUCACGGUGAAUACGUUCCCGGGCCUU
RNAcentral lists this ribosomal RNA (501 nucleotides) under uncultured Sphingobacteriales bacterium. RNAcentral's name for it is "bacterial SSU rRNA". It matches the Rfam family "Bacterial small subunit ribosomal RNA", at positions 903 to 1382 of the family's 1533-position model. Lineage: Bacteria; Pseudomonadati; Bacteroidota; Sphingobacteriia; Sphingobacteriales. The record is from RNAcentral.